UUCUCUCUCCUCGAAUCUCUCUCUUCAGGCGUCUGUUUGGGGCAUGGCUGGUUGGAAAAUGAAGCCCAUGAGGUGUUGAGGUGUUUGCUCCAUUUCCCUCGUCGGAACGCUGCCGGAGGUGGCCAUAAUUGUGGCUUGAAGUUCAUGUGUUUAACGCGCGUUCUCCUCCUUUUUCUCAAGAAUCGUCGUCGUUCAAUGCGAGGCGAGGGCCGUGCCGGCUGCUGCGAGGUGGGCGGGGUCCUUACCGACUAUUG
This 254-nucleotide unclassified non-coding RNA is filed under the name Hevea brasiliensis (rubber tree). The record is from RNAcentral. Lineage: Eukaryota; Viridiplantae; Streptophyta; Magnoliopsida; Malpighiales; Euphorbiaceae.